RNAcentral lists this ribosomal RNA (254 nucleotides) under uncultured prokaryote. RNAcentral describes it as "partial 16S ribosomal RNA". It matches the Rfam family "Bacterial small subunit ribosomal RNA", at positions 524 to 776 of the family's 1533-position model. The record is from RNAcentral.
UACGGGGGGAGCAAGCGUUGUUCGGAUUUACUGGGCGUAAAGGGCGCGUAGGCGGUCAGCACAAGUCAGUUGUGAAAUCUCCGGGCUUAACUCGGAAAGGUCAACUGAUACUGUGCGACUAGAGUGCAGAAGGGGCAACUGGAAUUCUCGGUGUAGCGGUGAAAUGCGUAGAGAUCGGAAGGAACACCAGUGGCGAAGGCGGCUACCUGGACAGAUACUGACGCUGAGGCGCGAGAGCGUGGGGAGCAAACAGG